RNAcentral lists this ribosomal RNA (405 nucleotides) under uncultured bacterium. Its description in RNAcentral is "partial 16S ribosomal RNA". It matches the Rfam family "Bacterial small subunit ribosomal RNA", at positions 28 to 526 of the family's 1533-position model. The record is from RNAcentral.
GACGAACGCUGGCGGCGUGCUUAACACAUGCAAGUCGAGCGGAGCGGCGCACGGGUGAGUAACUCGUGAGUAACUGCCCCCCUCUCUGGGAUAACAGUUGGAAACGGCUGCUAAUACCGGAUAGUGGGGGAUGACUCGCGUCCUAUCAGCUUGUUGGUGGGGUAGUGGCCUACCAAGGCGACGACGGGUAGCCGGCCUGAGAGGGCGACCGUCGACAUUGGACUGAGACACGGUCCAAACUCCGACGGGAGGAAGCAGUAAGGAAGAUUGCGCAAUGGGGGAAACCCUGACGCAGCAACGCCGCGUGGGGGAUGAAGGCUUUCGGGUUGUAAACCGCUUUCGCUAUCGAAAGGGUAGGUGGAGAAGAAGCGCCGGCUAACUACGUGCCAGCAGCCGCGGUAAUUC